UGGACAGAUUAUUGUAUUCGACUGUAUUCCACUGUAUUCACGGCGUGAACACAGGGGAUUACAUUAUUUUUAAACGGAAAGUGAAUCAAUUAACAUAAUAGACUCCU
This is a microRNA precursor of Nicotiana attenuata, 107 nucleotides long. It matches the Rfam family "MIR6152 microRNA precursor family". NCBI's taxonomy places the organism in Eukaryota, Viridiplantae, Streptophyta, Magnoliopsida, Solanales, Solanaceae. The record is from Rfam.